Molecule: ribosomal RNA, 391 nt
Filed under: uncultured Alphaproteobacteria bacterium
Lineage: Bacteria; Pseudomonadati; Pseudomonadota; Alphaproteobacteria
Description: bacterial SSU rRNA
Rfam family: Bacterial small subunit ribosomal RNA
Source: RNAcentral
GAGUUUGAUCCUGGCUCAGAACGAACGCUGGCGGCAUGCCUAACACAUGCAAGUCGAACGGGAUCCAGCCUUCGGGUUGGUGAGAGUGGCGGACGGGUGAGUAACGCGUGGGAACCUGCCCAGUGGUGGGGGAUAACUGCGGGAAACUGCAGCUAAUACCGCAUGAGCCCGAGAGGGGAAAGAUUUAUCGCCAUUGGAGGGGCCCGCGUUCGAUUAGGUAGUUGGUGAGGUAACGGCUCACCAAGCCGACGAUCGAUAGCUGGUCUGAGAGGAUGAUCAGCCACACUGGGACUGAGAUACGGCCCAGACUCCUACGGGAGGCAGCAGUGGGGAAUAUUGGACAAUGGGGGCAACCCUGAUCCAGCAAUGCCGCGUGAGUGAUGAAGGCCUU